GUUUCCGUAGCGUAGCGGUUAUGACAUUCGCCUCCAACGUGAAAGGUCCCCAGUUCAAAACCGGGCGGAAACA
Molecule: non-coding RNA, 73 nt
Organism: Delphinapterus leucas (beluga whale)
Lineage: Eukaryota; Metazoa; Chordata; Mammalia; Artiodactyla; Monodontidae
Source: the annotation of a RefSeq genome assembly